ACAUUGUGCCAGGUGCAGGAGGCAAUCAGCCUGACCCUUCGCUGAGCUGUUAACACUUAGCUGUCCACAGACUGUAAGCUGAGUGAAAUGAGUCACUCCAGUUCCUGCCCACAAGGGGUUCAAGGUCAAGGGAACAAGUACCAUCUCAAGGCAACCAUCAGAGUCUCAGUCUGUCUCCCAGGCUGGAGUGGAGUUGUGUGAUCUCGGCUCAUUGCAGCUUCCACUUCCCAGGAUCAAGUGAUUCUCGUGCCUCAGCCUCCCGAGUACCUGGGAUUACAGACAUGCGCCACCACGCCCGGGAACUGGCCUUAGGAGAUCCAGAAUAUCAAACCAAGGUUGAGAGUGUCCCAUCUCAGGAAAGAAUGAACAAUUGAUUUACAGCCUUGUUGCCUCCAGCUAGACCACCAGGUGGCCCAUUACCCAACAUAACCAUUGCAACUAGAUAAUGCUGACCUGCAUACCCUACCCCUCAGAGCUUUGCCCCGUCCUGCCUGCAUAUCUACCCGAUAUUUAUUUAUUUUUUAAUAAUUUUUAAUUAAAAUAUGGAAUGCUUCACAAA
Molecule: long non-coding RNA, 559 nt
Organism: Pan troglodytes (chimpanzee)
Lineage: Eukaryota; Metazoa; Chordata; Mammalia; Primates; Hominidae
Exons: 3
Source: RefSeq, a predicted model, not a curated record